GUAGGUGGCAAGCGUUGUCCGGAAUUAUUGGGCGUAAAGCGCGCGCAGGCGGUUCUUUAAGUCUGAUGUGAAAGCCCACGGCUCAACCGUGGAGGGUCAUUGGAAACUGGAGAACUUGAGUACAGAAGAGGAAAGCGGAAUCCCACGUGUAGCGGUGAAAUGCGUAGAGAUGUGGAGGAACACCAGUGGCGAAGGCGGCUUUCUGGCCUGUAACUGACGCUGAGGCGCGAAAGCGUGGGGAGCAAACAGGGAUUAGAUACCCUGGUAGUCCACGCCGUAAACGAUGAGUGCUAAGUGUUAGGGGGGUUUCCGCCCCCCUUAGUGCUGCAGCUAACGCAUUAAGCACUCCGCCUGGGAGUACGGCCGCAAGGCUG
RNAcentral lists this ribosomal RNA (374 nucleotides) under uncultured organism. RNAcentral's name for it is "partial 16S ribosomal RNA". It matches the Rfam family "Bacterial small subunit ribosomal RNA", at positions 527 to 896 of the family's 1533-position model. The record is from RNAcentral.